GCCUCCUCGGUCCCCGGCUAGCCCCUCGGUCUCUCGUGCUGGACAGCGGCCUCACACCUCGGUGGCGGGAAGGCGUCCCGGCUCGGGGCCCUGGGGCGACCGUGUGGGCCCAGGCGUGUGGGCACUCUCUCAGCAGCCGGGCUGCGCUGCCCACCCCCAAAGGGCCCAGGCCGCUGGGCUCCCUCCCUCGUUUACAGCCAGCCUUUGUCUCCCUCCACCACGUGAGGGGGGCAGCCGCGGGCCCCCAGGCCCUCAGAGAAUCCCCCCACGUGGGGUGGGUGGGCUCUGACUCCCUGAGGCCCGAGCCAAGCUGCUGUGAGUCUGUGAGAUCGGUUUCCCUUCAUGCAGGGCUUGGUGAAGGUGUCUCCGGGCCUCCUGCAAAGUGAAGCUCUGGCUCUGCACUAGCCAAGACCCUGGGAAGGUAACCGUCCACGGAGAUGCUGGUGGAGAUGCAGGCAGGCUCGCAAGAUCGGGGUUACGACCCAGGCGCUGGCUGGCCGAUCCGGUGCAGAGUGGACUGGAUUUCCUUUGUGCAAACCCGAUUGUAUCUUCCGCUGCUGCAGAGAUCAGAUCACCGAUGACCCACAGAGCCCACGCUCAUCUGCAUGUGUUUUAACAGCCUGUGGCACUGACACCUGCCAAACAGAAGCUGACUCCAUUUUCCUCGCCGAAACAAAACCUCUGAACCCGCUGCCUCAGCUGUCCUAAGGACAGACACAUAUAAGCGUUCUGUCCCAGGGACAAGAUGCAGGUCCGCGGAUGAGCUGAACAACAGUUAAGUUUCCUUCCCACCACCCAUCAGUGCCAGAUAUGGCAUGAUGCGGCUUCAUUAAAAGUCACAAAGAAUACUCGUUUCAGCAAAAACUCCUGGGCUGCAUUUAUCUUGCACUUUGUAGCUGGAACCUUCCAGCACAACAUCACCUUGUCAUGGGUGGUGCUGAGCCCGUUAGGACACAGAUGUACAUGUGGCAAUGCUUCCUGAAGGUGAAAGGGAUUCAUUAAAGUGUCAAACGAC
Long non-coding RNA from Suricata suricatta (meerkat), 1015 nucleotides. RefSeq lists it as uncharacterized. The record is from RefSeq and is a predicted model, not a curated record. NCBI's taxonomy places the organism in Eukaryota, Metazoa, Chordata, Mammalia, Carnivora, Herpestidae. The transcript is spliced from 3 exons.